This 376-nucleotide ribosomal RNA is filed under the name Atelopus flavescens (Cayenne stubfoot toad). RNAcentral describes it as "partial 12S ribosomal RNA". The record is from RNAcentral. Lineage: Eukaryota; Metazoa; Chordata; Amphibia; Anura; Bufonidae.
GAAGUCAAUUUUUACUUAAUAUACACAUGCAAGUCUCCGCCCACCCGUGAAAACGCCCUUAAACCCCCAUAGGGACAAGGAGCCGGUAUCAGGCACGAAAAUCUGCCCAAGACACCUAGCUUUGCCACACCCACAAGGGAUCUCAGCAGUGACCAAUAUUGAAUAUGAGCAUAAGCUUGAUUCAGUCAAAGUAAUCCAGGGCCGGCUAAUCUGGUGCCAGCCGCCGCGGUUACACCACGUGGCCCAAGUUGUCUUCCAUCGGCGUAAAACGUGAUUAAAGCUAAUAUUAAAAUAGAGUUGAAUUUAAAUUAAGCUGUGACACGCCUGCUUAUAAGAAAACCUAACACGAAAGUUACUCUAAUGAACCAACUUGAAU